This is a non-coding RNA of Jackrogersella minutella, 73 nucleotides long. Lineage: Eukaryota; Fungi; Ascomycota; Sordariomycetes; Xylariales; Hypoxylaceae. The record is from the annotation of a GenBank genome assembly.
AAUCCUGUAGCUUAGUUGGUUGAAGCGCCGCAUUACAUUGCGAAGGACGAGGGUUCGAGUCCCUCUGGGAUCA